CACCCAGCCCUGCCUGUGACCUGCCCUGGGCUGGAGCCCAUUGCUGGCUCUGCAGUGACAGUGACACACACGGUGUGCCAGCCAGGAGCUCCACAGCUGCAGCACCUGCACCAGCCCCAAGAAAGCACAAAGCAGGAAAGGGGAGCUCAGCAGAGCUCAGCAGAGCGUGUGGUUCCUCCCUGUGCUGGGGGAGCCGCAGGUGUGGCUGCUGCACACCCUCCUGCCGGGCCUGGCCAGCACGGGGCCUGCACACAGCGCGGCUGCCGGCCUUGCUCUGCUGCCCCUGCAAGCAGCCAGCUCUUCUUCUGUGGUCAUGGCUGGGCUCAAAUCUUCAUCUUUCUUAUGUUUGUAACUUUAAGAAACAUUGGGGAAGCCACUGAACUUAGAGAAGUGCCAGAUGAGGAUGUUUCAGUGCCACAUCUCUGCAUCUUACCCUGGAGCAAAAUGGAAGAGGCAAGAGCAGGCUGGCAAAGAGACACCUGGUGCUUGGGGCCAGCUCUGGCCAUGCCAGAAGGGUUUCCCCAAGAGGAGGACAGCCUCAACUUAUGGAGCAACAGUGAGGGAGUAAAAGCUGCAUAGUGCUGAGCCACUGUGAAUUGUAUAGCUGAGCUCUCUGCAUGGCAGCUGCUCUAGAAACUUUGACAAAAACCUACACGUGCAAUCAGUGGCCAAGUCACAGGGGCUCCAACAGACGUGAGCAUGGAGUCACACAAGUAAGGAUGAAGGAAUGUGAGAAGACCAAAGUGAUCCAGACUGUAGGCUGAGUAGAUUUCUGUCAAGAGCUACAUGUAAGAUAACUUCAAACCUGGAAAUCAAGAGUGUAGGGCUUUAUUUAUAUUUUUACAGAAGUUAACGAACCUUUCCAAAAUACCCCAGAUGUUUUAGUUUGAGUUCACUUUGAAUUUUGGACCAGACAUGCAGAUUUUUUGCUUCUUUCCCCAAAAAUAUUUCCACAAACUUAUCUACACUGUUCUCCUUAGGAGAACAAGGGUUGGAGAGUGUUACUGAGCCACUCUGCAUAUCAUGGAUAAAUCUUAAAUGCCACAGGCUGCAUCUCACUGUGGUGCUGCAUCUGCAUUUAAGACAUGACUGAACUAUCUGUACAUCUCAACCUUUGCUGUAACAAUUUUCUUUGAACAACUGAAUCAAGAAUCCAUGAGUCACUUAGGCAUUUUUAUCAGCCUGUAAGCAUCAGCAGCACAUCUCAGAGUUUGCCCUUUACACUUGACUGGGACAAGAGGGACAUGCACAGGUAUCCAGAGCUUUGCUGUGCCAGCACAACUAAAUUUUCAAAAGAGAAGUGACUUUGCACAGCCCAUGAAAACACUUAUUCCAUAGCAUCAGUAUCCCUUACCAUAAUCCUGGUGUUAAUCCAGGAGUAGACCUUGAGCACAAAGGACAAAAAAACCCAAGUGCUGAAGAAGUGGUGCAUCCAGAGAGAUCUGCUGUGCCAGUGAAGUACCCUCUGCACUCCAGGGAACCCAAGCAAGCUUCAGCCAUCAUCAUUGCUGCUGCUCACAAAAGCCAAGGAAGGAAUAUCCCCACACACAGCUGGAUUUUGUCAGUCACACAAACACUUCUGUGGAUCUCUAUAGUGCUUUAGCAUAAGAACAGAGAGAUCUCCUUGCCAGCACUUCAGAUUAUUUUUUCCAUGGUGAACUUCUACUGUGUUUUGCACAUUACAUCACUCUCUUAGACUCUUCAGCUGCUCUCAAAACCUGCUCAAGUUCCUGGUUCUGGCUUUCAUUUUCACUUGGUGAAGUGUAAUCUAGAAAGCCCUACUUAACUUCUCCCACUUGUGCAUCUGAAUGUGAAGAGAAUGCCCAGGCAGAAGCAGAGCUGGAGGAGGAGCAGGUUUCUAGAGUACAGUAAAGCUCCACAGCGUUACUUUGGUGCAAGCUAUUAUGUGAUUUCAAUACAGAUUCCCUGCUCUUAGGAAAGCCAGUGCUUGCUGAGACUGAGCUGACAACAGCUCCCUUCCCAAGCAAAUGGCUUCAGUAGCCCCUGGCAGAGCAGAUCCAUCUGCCACUCCCUGCUCAGCCCACAGCUCCAGUCAGCACAGUCCAGGAGCACGAUCAUAUUUAUUUUUUACAGCUGAGAACUUUGACAAACAGCAGCAGGCAGCAAAGGCCAGUCUAUUUAUAUUUCUUACAGUAUAUAUUCUAAAGAAUGGCAGUCACCAUUAUGGAAGCUAUCAAAAAGCUAGCUCUGACCUUAAAUAAGCGUGCUCCUAUGUCAGGCAGUCCCAGGAAGGAGAAUUUAUGCGGCAGAUGCUGCAUUCAGAGAAGGAAGUAGAGUUGGAUUGCUCUUGCCAGAGAUGCAGCCCAGGAUGCAGCUGCCAAAAUUUGGCUUAAUUCUUUGUGUUCCUUUAGGACAGGAAUUUAACCAAGAUUUUACCCUCCACCUCUGGGUUGGACUGGCUUCUGCUCUGUUCCACAGGACAUCUAAACCCAGCACGUGAACUCACAAGGCCCCCAGAGUGCAGGGGACAAACUGAGUCACACGUGUUUGCAUUAACACUGUAUGAGAAUCUUAGCAGAAUACAAUUAAUUCUGGGAAUUUAUAGACAAGAAAAACUGCUGGAGGAGCAAUUCUGCAGCAGGUUGGAUACCUUUUGCAUAUGCUUUCCUUGAUGAAAAUCCUGCAUAAUAACAGAAAAUCUUUCAUAUCUCCUUUGACAUUUCAGAAGAUGGGACCAUUAAGUAUUAAUUUUCCUUGACAAAGUACACCUUUCUUUUGCAAAAAUGAAAUCCCAGUCAGAGCACAAUGUUCUCUUGUUUACAUCUCUCCCUGCUUUAAUAGUGCUUUGCAAUAUAUGCUUAUUUAUUUUUAUGAAGUCAGCUAAAAAUUAUAUUGCUCAAAUUUAUUUUAUGUAUUAAUUUGGAAAAAAAAUCAAUAAAUUAUUUGGCCCUCCCUUCAGCUUUAUUACAUUUGUUAUCAUUUAUUAAAUGGACUUAUUUUAAGUUCAUUUGCAAGCAAAAUAGUGCUAACUGAAGACCCAUUCAUCAUUUUCUUCAAAAGAAAAUAUUAAUGAAUGCCACCUAAUUACAAGAGAAGGAAUUUAGAAAAAAAAAAAGGGGAAAAAAGGAAAAAGAAGAAUAUACACUUUUUACAAAGAGUUAAGUGGAAACAAGGAUACUUUUUCCGCCUGCUCCUCAUCCUGCCUGUGACCCCUUCAGGCUGCAGCCACGCUCCCACAAACCAUCAAUAUCCUCCCUGAUAUUUGACUUGUCCUGAGGGAAGCAGCGUUUUCCAUGUCACAGAAUCACAGAUCACAGAAUGGGUUGGGUUGAAAGGGACCUUAAAGAUCACCUUGUUCCAAGCCCCUGCCUUGGGCAGGGACUCCUUGUACGAGACCAGGCUGCUCAGAGCCCCAUCAAACCUGGCCUUGCACACUCCCAGGAAUGUACAGCUGGUUUCAGAUUUUUGGUCUAGAAAGGAUUGCUUGGGAGGAGAGGGAAUCAAGGAAAAAGGAGUAUUUUCCUUCAUUUUGCACAGAGCCAGUAGAAACAAGAAAAAUUAGAAAAUGGCAAAGACAGAAGAAGCAUCAGUUGCAGGAGGAAGGAGUGUAAGGGGAAAGAGGAAAUGUUUUCAAAGCAUUUUCCUCCUAGUUUGAUUAACUUAAAAGCAAUUUAAAGUAAAAGUUGCCUCUAUGCAGAGCAGUGGCCCAGCAGCACCUCCUUCACAUCACUUCCCAUUCAGCAUGGGGGGAAUCUCUCCCUCCCUGCUCCUUGCCAGCCACCACUUCACUUUUUUUUGUCUGCCCUCACCACUUCUGCUGUCUCUCCUCCUGUCUUUGUCUCUUUGUGAAGCGUCCUGGAACCCGGCCCAGCUUGUUCAAGCUCCCAACACAUCUUGAAUUUUAAUUCACUCUCAUUUGAAGUCAUCUAUCUCUGUUUUAAACCUAGACACAAAGAGAAUGAGCCAAUUUAUUAUUACUUAAACCCAAAACAAAUCUGCAGAGAAAGCCUGGUUUACUCUCAGCACAUCACAGCGUGUCCAGCUGGGUGCUAAUACUGACUUGAAGCUAACUGACCUGGGGGCACAAAAUGCUGCACAGGGACAGCCUGCUUUGGAAAGGUGCCCUGCACCCAGGGCAGUGUGAAAGCACAUCAGUUAAGAGGAAAGAUGACAACAGACGGUGUAAAAGCAGCACAACCUGUUCUCAGAGCACAUUACAGCCUUAUCUGGACUCCAAGGCUGCCUGGCAGGUGAACUUUCCUGCCAGCCAAUGUUGCAUUUCAUUCUAAUUGGCAUUUAAGACAUUGCAAUGAAACCCCUUUACUCUAUACUUCAUAAAGAACAAGGAAAACAGAACUAAUUUUUGUCAGUGAAAGGAAAAUUUACAACAAUAAUAAAUGAGGCAGGGGAAAAUGGGAUUCUCUGUUAAACAUAGUGAUAGUUCACAAAUACUUUCCAUUAAAUAAAAAGACAUUAGAGUACGGAAAAACAAGUAAAGAAUUCCAAAUAAACACAAGAGGGAAAAGUAAAAGAUGCAACAAAUAUUUGCCAGUGGUCACCCUGGAACUGCACAUUAGCACAAAUCACAGAACCAUAGAAUCACUGAGGUUGGAAAAGACCUCCAAGAUCCUUGAGUCCAGCCUUUGAUGAAACACCACCACAUCAACCAAACUGUAGCACUGAAUGCCACGUGGAGCCAUUCCUUGAGCACUUCCAGGGAUGGUGACCCCAUUGCCUCCCUGGGCAGCCCAUUCCAGUGCCUGGCCACCCUUUCCAGUGGAGGAUCUCUCUCCUUUCUGCCUCCUGCCUGUUCUGUGUGCUGCCCAGCACCUGUUUGUAAAUUAUAUAUAGUGGGCACUGAUUUAAACAGAGGUAAUAUAUAAAAGCAGUUUAAAUCAACAAUAUCAAUAUUAUUUUAGUGUGUUAGGUUUUAAUUCUUGUCAUAAUUCAUUGAUGAAUCAUCUUAAUGGAUGAGAAAGCAAUUCCUUUCCCAUUUUUCUGCAAUCCAGCAAUCUUUACCCAUUGCAACACUCUGUCAUCAAUACAGAAACUGCAACUGCUUCAACUGCUUUCAUAUUCCCUUCCACGGGAAUGCAUUUGUAGGGAUACUAACAAAAUAGUGGAUUAUUUGUUGCAUUUCUUUGAUCUAUAAAUAGGACUUCUCGGUAGAGGAUAUUUUUACUGCAUUUGGAGCAAUCUCGACACACUCAUUCUAAAGUGUAACCAAGUAAUUUUCAUCUCAUUUUGAAGCUCUGUGCCUGCAAGAAGUAACUAUAUACCAGAGUUAGAAAAGUCAAAUGAGAAACCUGGAGGUCCAAGUGAGGCAGAAUUUGGGAACAGGACUCAAAGCUGCUUUGCUCGUCUCCUUUUUAUUUACAGCUCAGACUAAAAUCUCUUUCCCUUGUGUCUUUUCUGGUGGCCUGCGAGAAAUGAGUUCAAAGUGGCAAAAUAUCUACUCAAAGCUGUUUAGUUCAAAGCCAUCAUGAGGUGGGGGCAGUGGUUGGAGAGCCUUGCCCUGGGGCAGGAUCAUCCCUGGCGAGUGCAGAGGUAAAAUGUUUCUGUAUUCUGCUCCUGCUGCUCCUGCUGCCUUCUUCAGGCUGGAGCCCUUCAGCUUCAGAUGAUCUCAUUCACACUUCUUCUAUAUAAAGAAACCUUGUGUCACCAGCACAUAUUAUGGUUUUUUUCUAGAUUUGCAAGUCUUAUUCAUAACUUGUCACUUCUAUCCCUGGAAAACUCAUUUGUUUGGACAAUUUUGUAUUGAAAACUGCCUAAAGGUUGUAAUUCUCAAAAUAAUUCCAAAAUGGCAGGUGUGCACAGUGGAACACAUCACCCUGGCACUUUGCCAUCAACCCAAAGCACAACCAUGACCAAGGCACACACAUGCCAGCUUUUAAAAUAAGGCUACACCAUAAGACACCAUUUAGUUUAGCUAAAAAAAAAGGGAAAAAAAAAAAAAAGGGGAAAAAAAAAAACCAUCAAAAA
Long non-coding RNA from Passer domesticus (house sparrow), 5943 nucleotides. RefSeq lists it as uncharacterized. Lineage: Eukaryota; Metazoa; Chordata; Aves; Passeriformes; Passeridae. The record is from RefSeq and is a predicted model, not a curated record. The transcript has 3 exons.